UAAGACCUGUACUGGAGUGGGAAUAAAACCCGGAGUGGGAAUAAAACCCGGACUGGAGCUGGCGGUGAGACCUGGACUGGAGUUGGGAGCAACAGGUGGAGUGGAAGCAAAACCCGGAGUGGGAAUAAAACCCGGACUGGAGUUGGGAGCAAAACCCGGACUGGGAAUAAAACCCGGACUGGAGUUGGGAGCAAAACCUGGACUGGGAAUAAAACCCGGACUGGAGCAGACGGUAAAACCCGGACUGGAGUUGGGAGCUGGACUGGAGUUGGAAGCAAAACCGGAGUGGGAAUAAAACCCGGACUGGAGUUGGGAGCAAAACCUGGACUGGGAAUAAAAACCGGACUGGAGCUGACAGUAAAACCCGGACUGGAGUUGGGAGCUGGACUGGAGUGGAAGCAAAACCCGGAGUGGGAAUAAAACCCGGACUGGAGUUGAGAGCAAGAGCUGGGCUGGGAAUAAAGCCUGGACUGGAUUAAAAUUUGGACCGGGAGCGACACCGGAACCAGCAGUACCACCAGAACCGGAACCAACAGUGGGACUGACAGCAAUACUGGGUCUGACACCGGGACCAGAAUCGACACCAGGACCAGGAACAACAACAGGACCAGAACUGACACCAGGACCGGAACAACACCGGGACCAGAACCAACACUGGGACCAGAACCGACACCAGGACCAGAACCGACACCGGGACCAGGAACAACACCAGGACCAGGAACAACACCGGGACCAGAACCGACACCAGAACCAGAACCGGCAUCAGGACCAGAACAACACUGGGACCAGAACCGACACCGGUCCAACAACGGGACCAGGGGCUGACACUGGGACUGUCAUCAACACCAGAACCAGAACCGACACCGGAACCGGGACUGACACCAGGACCAACACCUGGACCAAUACUGGGACCGGAACUGACACCAGGACCAGGACCAAAACCUGGACCAACACCAGAACCAGGACUGACACCGGGACCAGGAAAAACACCUGGACCAACACCAGAACCAGGACCAACACCAGGACCAGGAAAAACACCCGGACCAACCCUGGGACCAGAACUGACACCAGAACCAGGACCAGCACCUGAACCAACACUGGGACCAGAACCAACAAUUGGACCAGGACCAACAAUUGAACCAACACCAGAACCAGGACCAACACCUGAACCAACACCAGGACCAGAACCAACAGUUGGACCAGGACCGACACCAGAACCCACAACACUGUGACCAGAACCAACAAUUGGCCCAGAACUGACACCAGAACCCACAACACCGGGACCAGAACCAACAACUG
Molecule: long non-coding RNA, 1299 nt
Filed under: Phasianus colchicus (ring-necked pheasant)
Lineage: Eukaryota; Metazoa; Chordata; Aves; Galliformes; Phasianidae
Description: lncRNA (ENSPCLG00000013522.1)
Source: RNAcentral